CUGUUGCACCCUCCGCCUAUAAAAAGGGGGACCCCAGAUACGUUACUCUCUAAGCUCUAAUUUCUAUCUUAAAACUCUGCUAAAAUUUUCGUUCGAGCACUCCAUUCUUGUUAAGGCAGAGAACUGACUUGAGCAUCGAAGAAUCUUACCGGAGCACCCCCAACUCCAGUUUAGACUUCCUUUGCAGGUCCCGACAGUGACCGCGACUCUCUCGACUCCAGCUUCUCUGACGCCGGC
This 237-nucleotide long non-coding RNA is filed under the name Elaeis guineensis (African oil palm). Its description in RNAcentral is "long non-coding RNA (EGUI_LNC052485)". Lineage: Eukaryota; Viridiplantae; Streptophyta; Magnoliopsida; Arecales; Arecaceae. The record is from RNAcentral.